UUCUGCCACCGAAUACAUUAGCAUGGGAUAAUGGAAUAGGACCCUGUCCUCCUAUUUUCAGUUGGUUUUGGCAGCGCGAGGACUAGGGUAAUGAUUAAUAGGGAUAGUUGGGGGCAUUAAUAUUUAAUUGUCAGAGGUGAAAUUCUUGGAUUUAUGAAAGAUUAACUUCUGCGAAAGCAUCUGCCAAGGAUGUUUUCAUUAAUCAAGAACGAAAGUUAGGGGAUCGAAGACGAUCAGAUACCGUCGUAGUCUUAACCAUAAACGAUGCCGACCAGCGAUUAGGAGACGUUGAAUACAAAACACCACCAUCGGCGCGGUCGUCCUUGGCGCGUUCGUGUUCACGCACGGGCGCGCGAGGGCGGUUUAGCCCGGUGGCACCGGUGAAUGACUCCCCUAGC
Molecule: ribosomal RNA, 398 nt
Filed under: Acanthamoeba sp.
Lineage: Eukaryota; Discosea; Longamoebia; Acanthamoebidae
Description: SSU rRNA
Rfam family: Eukaryotic small subunit ribosomal RNA
Source: RNAcentral